This 75-nucleotide transfer RNA is filed under the name Bifidobacterium longum subsp. longum. Its description in RNAcentral is "tRNA-Val(tac)". It matches the Rfam family "tRNA". From Rfam's summary of the family: Transfer RNA (tRNA) molecules are approximately 80 nucleotides in length. Their secondary structure includes four short double-helical elements and three loops (D, anti-codon, and T loops). The record is from RNAcentral. Lineage: Bacteria; Bacillati; Actinomycetota; Actinomycetes; Bifidobacteriales; Bifidobacteriaceae. RNAcentral also lists the same sequence under 14 other names.
GGGCAAUUAGCUCAGUUGGUUAGAGCGCCACCUUUACACGGUGGAUGUCGGGGGUUCGAGUCCCUCAUUGCCCAC